UACAGAGGUCCCAAGCGUUGUUCGGAUUCACUGGGCGUAAAGGGUGCGUAGGCGGUCGGGUAAGUCUGAUGUGAAAUCUCACAGCUUAACUGUGAAACUGCAUUGGAUACUAUCCGGCUAGAGGAAUGGAGGGGAGACUGGAAUACUUGGUGUAGCAGUGAAAUGCGUAGAUAUCAAGAGGAACACCUGAGGUGAAGACGGGUUGCUGGGCCGACACUGACGCUGAGUGCGCGAAAGCCAGGGGAGCAAACGGG
Molecule: ribosomal RNA, 254 nt
Filed under: uncultured bacterium
Lineage: Bacteria
Description: partial 16S ribosomal RNA
Rfam family: Bacterial small subunit ribosomal RNA
Source: RNAcentral